UUCAUUGGAGCUGCACUUGCUGCCUUAUACCACCAGGUUAUCAUAAGAGCCAUUCCAUUCAAGAGUGGAAACUGAUGAACACCUUGGCUUAAUUAUGAGCUAUGGCCAUGCCCUGUUUCUGUAAUUGGUUACUUUGUUAUGAUUGACUAUGAUGUUCAAUGUUGAUUGUGUACAAAAGCUGUUUUAUUGCUUUAUUUAUCUGUUUCUGUUAUUGGUUACUUUGCUAUGAUUGACAAUGAUGUUCAAUGUUGAUUAUGUACAAAAGCUGUUGUAUUGCUUUAUUUAUCGUAUUUGGUUUUGAAUUGAUCUUAUUUAUUUUAGCAUCUGUUUCGGUGUUAUUAUUGCCUUAUUAUGUUUGUUAUCCCUUUUGUUUAAAGCUUAACUUCUACGCGCUCAUGAUGUAAAAAAUACUUUCAUAAUCAGAAUCAUUUAUAUAAAAAAGGCCGAUAUAUGGA
RNAcentral lists this long non-coding RNA (455 nucleotides) under Nicotiana benthamiana. RNAcentral's name for it is "long non-coding RNA (NBEN_LNC036982)". Lineage: Eukaryota; Viridiplantae; Streptophyta; Magnoliopsida; Solanales; Solanaceae. The record is from RNAcentral.